AUCUAGCUAGCGAGUCACAAAUAGGACGAAACGCGCGUUCUGGAU
Molecule: non-coding RNA, 45 nt
Organism: Schistosoma rodhaini
Lineage: Eukaryota; Metazoa; Platyhelminthes; Trematoda; Strigeidida; Schistosomatidae
Source: Rfam